RNAcentral lists this ribosomal RNA (274 nucleotides) under uncultured bacterium. RNAcentral's name for it is "partial 16S ribosomal RNA". It matches the Rfam family "Bacterial small subunit ribosomal RNA", at positions 523 to 796 of the family's 1533-position model. The record is from RNAcentral.
AUACGGAGGGUGCAAGCGUUAAUCGGAAUUACUGGGCGUAAAGGGUUCGUAGGCGGUUAUUUAAGUCAGAUGUGAAAGCCCCGGGCUCAACCUGGGAAUUGCAUCUGAUACUGGGUAACUAGAGUUUAUGAGAGGAGUGUGGAAUUUCCGGUGUAGCGGUGAAAUGCAUAGAGAUCGGAAGGAACAUCAGUGGCGAAGGCGGCACUCUGGCUUAAAACUGACGCUGAGGAACGAAAGCGUGGGUAGCAAACAGGAUUAGAAACCCUAGUAGUCC